UUAUAAUAUUUUUUAUAAAUUAAAAAUUAAAAUAAAAUAAAAAAUUUACACAAUAAAUCUAUAAAUAAAUAUCAUUAUUUUAUUAUAUUAAAUUAAAAUUAUAAGAGGUGUAAAAUAAAAAUAAAAAGCUAUACAAAUAGGCCGUCAAAUGUCAGCAUCUGUAAAAGAAGAACGGGCUGGAGAAGGAGAGUGCUCGGAUGAGCUCGAACUGGCCUGCUGCUACCUCAUCAGCUGCAUUAUUUGCUCCAUCUGCGCUAUCCACUCCAUCACCU
Molecule: long non-coding RNA, 272 nt
Filed under: Elaeis guineensis (African oil palm)
Lineage: Eukaryota; Viridiplantae; Streptophyta; Magnoliopsida; Arecales; Arecaceae
Description: long non-coding RNA (EGUI_LNC045141)
Source: RNAcentral